This 497-nucleotide ribosomal RNA is filed under the name uncultured bacterium. RNAcentral describes it as "partial 16S ribosomal RNA". It matches the Rfam family "Bacterial small subunit ribosomal RNA", at positions 28 to 507 of the family's 1533-position model. The record is from RNAcentral.
GAUGAACGCUGGCGGCGUGCCUAAUACAUGCAAGUCGAGCGAACAGACGAGGAGCUUGCUCCUUUGACGUUAGCGGCGGACGGGUGAGUAACACGUGGAUAACCUACCUAUAAGACUGGGAUAACUUCGGGAAACCGGAGCUAAUACCGGAUAACAUGUUGAACCGCAUGGUUCAACAGUGAAAGACGGUCUUGCUGUCACUUAUAGAUGGAUCCGCGCCGCAUUAGCUAGUUGGUAAGGUAACGGCUUACCAAGGCAACGAUGCGUAGCCGACCUGAGAGGGUGAUCGGCCACACUGGAACUGAGACACGGUCCAGACUCCUACGGGAGGCAGCAGUAGGGAAUCUUCCGCAAUGGGCGAAAGCCUGACGGAGCAACGCCGCGUGAGUGAAGAAGGUCUUCGGAUCGUAAAACUCUGUUAUUAGGGAAGAACAAAUGUGUAAGUAACUAUGCACGUCUUGACGGUACCUAAUCAGAAGGCCACGGCUAACUACGUG